RNAcentral lists this ribosomal RNA (233 nucleotides) under uncultured bacterium. RNAcentral's name for it is "partial 16S ribosomal RNA". It matches the Rfam family "Bacterial small subunit ribosomal RNA", at positions 29 to 288 of the family's 1533-position model. The record is from RNAcentral.
AGCGAACGCUGGCGGCAGGCUUAACACAUGCAAGUCGAGCGGGCGUAGCAAUACGUCAGCGGCAGACGGGUGAGUAACGCGUGGGAACGUACCUUUUGGUCGGAACAACCCAGGGAAACUUGGGCUAAUACCGGAUAAGCCCUUACGGGGAAAGAUUUAUCGCCGAAAGAUCGGCCCGCGUCUGAUUAGCUAGUUGGUGAGGUAACGGCUCACCAAGGCGACGAUCAGUAGCU